GACGAACGCUGGCGGCGUGCUUAACACAUGCAAGUCGAGCGGUAAGGCCCUUUCGGGGUACGACGAGCGGCGAACGGGUGAGUAACACGUGGGUGACCUGCCCUUAGCUCUGGGAUAAGCCUGGGAAACGUGGGUCUAAUACCGGAUAUGACUCCAUGACGCAUGUUGUGGGGUGGAAAGCCUUAUGCGGCUGGGGAUGGCCCGCGGCCUAUCAGCUUGUUGGUGGGGUGAUGGCCUACCAAGGCGA
RNAcentral lists this ribosomal RNA (247 nucleotides) under uncultured Actinomycetes bacterium. RNAcentral's name for it is "uncultured actinobacterium partial 16S ribosomal RNA". It matches the Rfam family "Bacterial small subunit ribosomal RNA", at positions 28 to 276 of the family's 1533-position model. The record is from RNAcentral. Lineage: Bacteria; Bacillati; Actinomycetota; Actinomycetes.